GAUGAACGCUAGCGGGAGGCCUAACACAUGCAAGUCGAGCGGAAAUUGUUCUUCGGUGCUGCGCGAGCGGUGGACGGGUGCGGAACACGUGCGCAACCUGCCUUUACCUGGGGGACAGCCAUUAGAAAGGAAGACUAAUACUACAUAAUAAAUUGAGUGGCAUCCUCUGAUUUUGAUAACUCAGGUCGAUAGUGAUGGGAACGCGUAAGAUUGGAUCGCUGGUAAGGUAACGGCUCACCAAGUCAAUGUUCUUUAGGGGGCCUGCGUGGGGGAUCCCCCAGACUGGGACUGCGACACGGACCAGACUGCUACGCGAGGCAGCAGUAAGGAAGGUUGGACGAGGGAUUCUCGCGUGAUCCAGCCAUCCCGCGUGAAGGACGACGGCCCUAGGGAUUGUAAGCUUCUUUUGUAUAAGAAUUGUCCUACUCUCGUGAGAGUAACUGAAGGUACUAUACGAAUAAGCACCGGCUAACUCCGUG
Molecule: ribosomal RNA, 479 nt
Filed under: uncultured bacterium
Lineage: Bacteria
Description: partial 16S ribosomal RNA
Rfam family: Bacterial small subunit ribosomal RNA
Source: RNAcentral